RNAcentral lists this unclassified non-coding RNA (309 nucleotides) under plant metagenome. Its description in RNAcentral is "partial contains 5.8S ribosomal RNA, internal transcribed spacer 2, and large subunit ribosomal RNA". The stretch from base 1 to 105 matches the Rfam family "5.8S ribosomal RNA", at positions 50 to 154 of the family's 154-position model. The record is from RNAcentral.
GAAAUGCGAUAAGUAGUGUGAAUUGCAGAAUUCAGUGAAUCAUCGAAUCUUUGAACGCACAUUGCGCCCCUUGGUAUUCCAUGGGGCAUGCCUGUUCGAGCGUCAUUUGUACCCUCAAGCUCUGCUUGGUGUUGGGUGUUUGUCCCGUCUCCGCGCGUGGACUCGCCCCAAAGUGAUUGGCAGCCGGCGUACUGGUCCCGGAGCGCAGCACAUGUCGCGCAAACGAGUGCCUUGGUACGGCGGCGUCCAUAAGCCCCUCUCUCACGCUCUUGACCUCGGAUCAGGUAGGGAGACCCGCUGAACUUAAGC